RNAcentral lists this ribosomal RNA (253 nucleotides) under uncultured bacterium. Its description in RNAcentral is "partial 16S ribosomal RNA". It matches the Rfam family "Bacterial small subunit ribosomal RNA", at positions 524 to 776 of the family's 1533-position model. The record is from RNAcentral.
UACAGAGGGUGCAAGCGUUGUUCGGAAUUAUUGGGCGUAAAGAGCUCGUAGGCGGUUUGUCGCGUCUGCCGUGAAAGUCCGGGGCUCAACUCCGGAUCUGCGGUGGGUACGGGCAGACUAGAGUGUGGUAGGGGAGACUGGAAUUCCUGGUGUAGCGGUGAAAUGCGCAGAUAUCAGGAGGAACACCGAUGGCGAAGGCAGGUCUCUGGGCCAUAACUGACGCUGAGAAGCGAAAGCAUGGGGAGCGAACAGG